Molecule: microRNA, 23 nt
Filed under: Monodelphis domestica (gray short-tailed opossum)
Lineage: Eukaryota; Metazoa; Chordata; Mammalia; Didelphimorphia; Didelphidae
Description: mdo-miR-7262i-5p
Source: miRBase by way of RNAcentral
AAAGUCUUUGUGUAGUUUUAAGC